Harpegnathos saltator (Jerdon's jumping ant) is the source of this 363-nucleotide long non-coding RNA. RefSeq lists it as uncharacterized. The transcript has 3 exons. The record is from RefSeq and is a predicted model, not a curated record. NCBI's taxonomy places the organism in Eukaryota, Metazoa, Arthropoda, Insecta, Hymenoptera, Formicidae.
GAGGAGAAGCGCAGGCGUUCAUACGCUCCUGCGCAUCGUUGCGCCGUUACUGCUGCUGUAUACCGCGAUGCGACAGUCAUACGUGGGGCGCAAGAGCGGGAGGUGCUCUCUCUCACCUUCUCGUCGAUCUCGAUCUCUCACUUUUGGGGGAAGCUCUAGACGUUCGAAAUUUGACGGUAACUCGACGAGGGACAAAGUGAGCGACGAUGCUUCGAGAGAGCGCGAACGUUUCGCGACAGAGUAACGCGCCCUCGCGCACGCCAGACGGAUUGAUGGCCGACGUGUAAGCGUGCCUUCAGGCGGCGGAAAGAAGACGAACGCGAUAAGGAGGAAGGGGAGGAGGAGGAGGAGGAGGAGGGGGAG